AGCUAACUACCAAAGACAAUUAGCUCCCACUGAACAACCGAGCACGUCAUCCCAUAUGGAGCACAGUUCUGUCACACAAUCCCGGGUCCCAAUACCUUACAGGCUCCACAUUAGCUCCUCUCUUAAAUCCACUCUUAAAUCAACAAACAAAACCAGUACCUUUAGAAGAGCACCUACCAUCUUUAACUUGCUCCGAAAUGAUAAGUCCAAAAGGCCUAAAGAAUAUAGAUCAGGUGUGUAUAAAAUUCCUCUGUGCAAUGUUGGAAAUAAUCAGACAGAAACUUACAUAGGAGCUACGGCCUGAAACUUUAAGGACAGAAUUAAAGAGCAUAAGGACAAUAUUUCUAAAGGAAACCUUACCACCGC
This 366-nucleotide long non-coding RNA is filed under the name Androctonus crassicauda. Lineage: Eukaryota; Metazoa; Arthropoda; Arachnida; Scorpiones; Buthidae. The record is from RNAcentral.